UACGUAGGGGGCAAGCGUUGUCCGGAAUCAUUGGGCGUAAAGAGCGUGUAGGCGGCUCGGUAAGUCCGCUGUAAAAGUCCAGGGCUCAACCCUGGAAAGCCGGUGGAAACUGUCGAGCUAGAGUCCGGAAGAGGCGAGUGGAAUUCCUGGUGUAGCGGUGAAAUGCGCAGAUAUCAGGAAGAACACCCGUGGCGAAGGCGGCUCUCUGGGACGGUACCGACGCUGAGACGCGAAAGCGUGGGGAGCGAACAGG
Molecule: ribosomal RNA, 253 nt
Filed under: uncultured bacterium
Lineage: Bacteria
Description: partial 16S ribosomal RNA
Rfam family: Bacterial small subunit ribosomal RNA
Source: RNAcentral